AUACGAACCGUCCAAACGUUAUUCGGAAUCACUGGGUUUAAAGGGUGCGUAGGCUGUGCGUUAAGUCAGGGGUGAAAUGCCGUCGCUCAACGACGGAGCUGCCCUUGAUACUGGCGUGAUGGAGUACGGAUGCCGUUGGAGGAAUGAGUGGUGUAGCGGUGAAAUGCUUAGAUAUCACUCAGAACACCGAUUGCGAAGGCAUCUGACGAAUCCGUCACUGACGCUGAGGCACGAAAGCGUGGGGAUAGAACAGGAUUAGAUACCCUGGUAUUCCACGCCGUAAACGAUGAUGACUAACCGUCGGCGAUAGACAGCCGGUGGCCAAGCGAAAGCGAUAAGUCAUCCACCUGGGGAGUACGUCGGCAACGAUGAAACUCAAAUGAAUUGGCGGGG
This 393-nucleotide ribosomal RNA is filed under the name uncultured bacterium. RNAcentral describes it as "partial 16S ribosomal RNA". It matches the Rfam family "Bacterial small subunit ribosomal RNA", at positions 523 to 918 of the family's 1533-position model. The record is from RNAcentral.